This 253-nucleotide ribosomal RNA is filed under the name uncultured bacterium. RNAcentral describes it as "partial 16S ribosomal RNA". It matches the Rfam family "Bacterial small subunit ribosomal RNA", at positions 524 to 776 of the family's 1533-position model. The record is from RNAcentral.
GACGUAGGGGGCCAGCGUUGCUCGGAAUUACUGGGCGUAAAGGGUUCGUAGGCGGUGCGGCAAGUUGGGAGUGAAAUCUCUGGGCUUAACCCAGAGGCUGCUUCCAAAACUGCCGUGCUAGAGUGCGAGAGAGGCCAGUGGAAUUGCAGGUGUAGCGGUGAAAUGCGUAGAUAUCUGGAGGAACACCGGAGGCGAAGGCGGAUCACUGGACUGUCACUGACGCUGAGGCGCGAAAGCUAGGGGAGCAAACAGG